UCUGUCAAUAAGGGCCUUUUUUUAGUGCAACAUGUUGGCAGAAUUACUCAUAAGGAACAGACAAUAGGCUGCAAUUCAUCCCAUCUUUUUCGAGAACCGAAUUCCUCAACAGUUGCGUGAAGAGUGUAUGUUUGAUAUCAUGGUAGAUUGUCAUAAUCCAAAUACUACACUAAAUUGGCAGGGCUAUAUGCAAGAAGCAGAAACAACUUUUUUAAUAUGA
RNAcentral lists this long non-coding RNA (220 nucleotides) under Medicago truncatula (barrel medic). Its description in RNAcentral is "lncRNA gene29686". The record is from RNAcentral. Lineage: Eukaryota; Viridiplantae; Streptophyta; Magnoliopsida; Fabales; Fabaceae.